RNAcentral lists this ribosomal RNA (385 nucleotides) under uncultured Cryptomonas. RNAcentral describes it as "partial small subunit ribosomal RNA". It matches the Rfam family "Eukaryotic small subunit ribosomal RNA", at positions 30 to 432 of the family's 1831-position model. The record is from RNAcentral. Lineage: Eukaryota; Cryptophyceae; Cryptomonadales; Cryptomonadaceae.
GCUUGUCUCAAAGAUUAAGCCAUGCAUGUCUUAGUGUAAAUAACUCUUAUGAAACUGCGAAUGGCUCAUUAAAUCAGUUAUCAAAUACGUGAUGGUCGCCUACUACAUGGAUAACCGUAGUAAUUCUAGAGCUAAUACAUGCACAAAGGCCCACUCACGUGGGUUGUGAUUAUUAGAUUCAAACCGGCCUCGUUCUGGUGAUUCAUAAUAAUUGGUCGAACCGCAUGCCCUUGUGGUGGCGGUGAUUCAUCCUUAUUUCUGCCCUAUCAGCUUUCGAUGGUUGUGUAUUGGACAACCACUGGCAAUAACGGGUAACGGAGAAUUAGGGUUCGGUUCCGGAGAGUUGGCCUUAAAAAUAGCCAACACAUCUAAGGAAGGCAGCAGG